Molecule: ribosomal RNA, 882 nt
Filed under: uncultured bacterium
Lineage: Bacteria
Description: bacterial SSU rRNA
Rfam family: Bacterial small subunit ribosomal RNA
Source: RNAcentral
GACGAACGCUGGCGGCGUGCCUUACCCAUGCAAGUCGGACGGUCUAUCUUGGGCAACCGGGAUGGAUAGUGGCAGACGGCUGAGUAACACGUGAGGACCUGUCCAGUUGAGGGGGAUAGCCGCUCGAAAGAGCGGGUAAUACCGCGUAAGCUGAGCGAGCGUAGGGCUUGCUCAGGAAAGCGAGGGCGACCUUGCGCGACUGGAGGGACUCGCGGCCCAUCAGGUAGUAGGUGGGGUUAUGGCCCACCUAGCCGAUGACGGGUAGCUGGUCUGAGAGGAUGGCCAGCCAGACUGGGACUGAGAGACGGCCCAGACUCCUACGGGGGGCAGCAGGGGGGGAUCUUGGUCAAUGGGGGAAACCCUGAACCAGCGACGCCGCGUGAGGGAAGAAGGCCCUUGGGUCGUAAACCUCUUUUGCCAGGGAAGAAGGGGAGUGUCUGUGAGGGUGCUCUCUUGACGGUACCUGGCGAAUAAGCCCCGGCUAACUACGUGCCAGCAGCCGCGGUAAUACGUAGGGGGCGAGCGUUGUCCGGAUUUACUGGGCGUAAAGAGCGCGUAGGUGGUCUGAAGAGUCGGCUGUGAAAUCUCCGGGCCCAACCCGGAGGGGUCGGCCGAGACCUUUGGACUUGAGGGUGGUAGAGGAAGGUGGAAUUCCGGGUGUAGUGGUGAAAUGCGUAGAGAUCCGGAGGAACACCAGUGGCGAAGGCGGCCUUCUGGGCCACACCUGACGCUGAGGCGCGAAAGCGUGGGGAGCGAACCGAAUUAGAUACUCGGGUAGUCCACGCCCUAAACGAUGGACGCUAGGUGUCGGGGGUAUCGACCCCCCCGGUGCCCGAGCGAACGCAGUAAGCGUCCCGCCUGGGGAGUACGGCCGCAAGGCUA